CACCGCCGCCUAGCGCCAUCUGCGCCGCCACCCAGCGCCAUGCGCCCCCGACCACCGGCCCGCACCCGCCCCGACCAGCGUCAUCCGCGGCUCCGCGCCCCUGGCCCCCCGCGGCCCCACCCCCGACCAGCGCUCGCCGACCCCGGCCGCCCAGCGCUGGCUCGUUGCGAGUGAGACGGGCGGCCACAACCAGAGAGAGAGAGAGAGAGAGAAGGAAACGAGAAGACCCUCCCGCUGCUUGCACCAUUCCCUCCCGUGGCGGCGGCGACUGUCCGGUCCGGCUGCCAUGUCGAACUGCGAUUACCACUCCCCGCGGUUCUUCGAGGAUGUUGCUUGGCUCCCACAAUGGCUUCAGCCUCACCGGCCGCUGACGGUCGGCGAACACCGGACUCACAGUACAGGCGUUUCAUCUUCUUCUUGUCAGGAGUGUCAGAAUGCCACUGUAAAUGCUGCUGGUUACAGUGGGUUCAUCUUGCGCUUGUCAGAACUUAAGUGGCCAGCAUGAUGUAGAAGGGGGUGGGUUCAUCUUGCGCUUGUCAGAACUUAAGUGGCCAGCAUGAUGUAGAAGGGGCGGAAGAAGAUGGUGCAUUGUUCCCAUCCCUUUGGUGGCACAAGAAGGAAGAGCUACUGGAGUACAGGUUGGUGCUGCUUGGUGGAAAAAAGAACUAAGGAGAAUUGAACUCCCAUAGCCACGGUCACCUAUAACAUGUCUUUGGAUGGUGCUGGGAUCGGAGUAGUAAUAGCGUAACUUGAAGUUCUUUUCAGCAAGAGCGGCAGUGUGUACGAUCGAGCAAUGAAUUGAGCAGCUGGCUGGUCCUGUCUAAUGCGGAAGUCCAUCCAUGCACAUUAGAAGUUUAUCUUUCAAUAAGAUACCAUUUCAAUCACUCAUCUUGUCAAAUACGAGUACUGGAUGAGAUUUUUUUUUUAAUUUGCUGUGUACCAGAUGAGGAUUUUUUUAAUUCUUGUUAGAUUAAUCUUGAUGAGGAUUUUCACAAUUUCCUAAGAUAUAUGAAGCUGCAAUUCAGAUUCUCACUAUUCCUACUAUCUAGAAAAAGACUGAAUGAUAUGCCUCAAAAAUAAACACUUCAGGAAACAAUAGUUAUCUUACUUUUGAAAACCAAUGUCCUAUCCCAAUAAUACAGAAACAUAAUGAAUAAUAGUAAUUUUAGAGAUUAGUGUAGUCUAAACAAAUUUGUGAAUAAUGUGGGUGUGGGUUGAAAUUAAGUUCGUGACUUUAAUUCAAGAAAAAAUACUAUUGAAUGGAUUUUUUUUUUCCAGAAAAUACACUUAGUUGUUUACAUUUUGGCAUUUGUAUGGAUACGGAUAAAGGAAUAUACUCUAAACUUUUGCUGUCACAUAGAGCUAAGGGGCAGCUGGAUAAUUAAGGUCCAUACAUUUACUGUGUAUUUUGGCGUUGCUGAUUAAUUUGCUUACAUGUUGAUAUCAAUAGACUUAUAAUAUCUUUUGUUGCCUGUGAUAUAUGUAUUGGUGCGAAUAUUUUUAUUGCCCGUAGCAACGCACGGACAUGAAUCUAGUAAAAAAGAAGAUAAAAGUGCCUGUUGAAGCUACUGAGGAAAUAAAAAAAACAUUGCUUGCCGAGGCAGUUGGAAAUUGGAACUCCGGAGCUCUUGUCCCUCUGCUGCACGAGGAAAUAUAAAACAAGCAAAAAGAUUUUGAAAACUGGGGCAUUCCAAGAAUUGAAUUCGCAACCUCUCGCACCCUAAUCGAGAAUCAUACCACUAGACCAAAUGCCCUUGUGUGGUUGCUCCUUUUUUUUAUUUCUAUACUUAACUUAUUAAAGGUGGACCAGCCUCCAGGCCCAUAUGCUUGGUGCCUUGGUGGUGGACUGGAAGGGUGGUAGGGAUUCACUCGACACAGAGACUAUGCAAGCGACCAGGGAAUACGUAAAGUUUGCACCGAAGACGUAAUGCCUGUGAUGGAGAGGCGGAGAGGCACGAGCCAGUCAGCGCCAGGCCACCAGCCACUCGCUCGCGAAUACGCGGGCUUUAAAGGGCGUCUCCGCAAAAACGCCACCUCGGCUCCUCUCUCGCGGCGGCGGCGCACCCCCCUUCUCCAUCUCCGGUAAGGCAUUUGGCAUCUCACCUCAACAGCAAGCAUGGCAGGUGGCAGGGUUGCACAUGCCACCCUCAAGGGCCCGAGUGUGGUGAAGGAGAUCUUCAUUGGACUCACCCUUGGGCUGAUUGCCGGUGGCAUGUGGAAGAUGCACCACUGGAACGAGCAGAGGAAGACUAGAUCCUUCUACGACAUGCUGGAGAAGGGCCAGAUCAGCGUUGUUGUCGAGGAGUAGCUUCCAGGCCCCAAGUCUGAAGUUAUUUUCUCACAGUUGUUUCUGAAAACUCUGGAGAGCAUGAAGAAAUGAAUUCUGUGGAGAUUUGUCUUAAAAAUAAGCAUAACCAUUUGAGAACACCAGAUUUUGUUGAAUUUCCUUCCAUUUCAUGAAUAUUUGAACAUGUCCAGAUCAUACCAAGCAACUGAAUAUCUGAUCUAGUUUUACAUAAGUUGAUGUGAAUCGAUUGGUGGCUUACCUAACAGGUGAUUACUCAAUCUGUGUUGGACAUAAUUUUGAGUGGAUGAAGCACUAACAAUCUUUGGCCUGAUUGCACGCUCAGCUGGAGCUCUUUCGUUUGGUAACGUCACAGAUUAGCAGGUGUUUAACAAUUGCUUGCUUACUGGGGUGGUGGAGAAAAGAGAUGCAUGUAUGAGGAUGCAAUAAUGCAUCUUGUCAUGUGUAUUUGUUUUGUUCGAUAAAAGAAACCAAAGAAACAAAUCAAUGCAUUGUUCGUUCCUGCUUCGAUGCCAAGAAGAUGGAUCAAGCAACAUGCUUGGAGAGGGAGCUGUCAGCAGACAGAAUCCAGCGAGCAACUUUGGAACAGAAGAUUUCCCCUUUGAUCUUAUUGCUUUAUUAGAUGUGUAGCUUUGCACUCAAGUUGUUUUGAUGCCUUUCUCCUUGCUUUGAGGUUUGAUAAGAACUCACAUCUUUUGUGACUCA
RNA transcript from Panicum virgatum (switchgrass), 3010 nucleotides. It is a transcript of the gene named cytochrome c oxidase subunit 5C, with no coding region annotated. The transcript is spliced from 8 exons. The record is from RefSeq and is a predicted model, not a curated record. NCBI's taxonomy places the organism in Eukaryota, Viridiplantae, Streptophyta, Magnoliopsida, Poales, Poaceae.